UACGUAGGGUGCGAGCGUUAAUCGGAAUUACUGGGCGUAAAGUGUGCGCAGGCGGCAGAGCAAGUCGAGUGUGAAAGCCCCGGGCUUAACUUGGGAAUUGCGCUCGAAACUACUUUGCUGGAGUGUGGCAGAGGAAGGUGGAAUUCCACGUGUAGCGGUGAAAUGCGUAGAGAUGUGGAGGAACACCAGUGGCGAAGGCAGCCUUCUGGGCCAACACUGACGCUCAUGCACGAAAGCGUGGGGAGCAAACAGG
This 253-nucleotide ribosomal RNA is filed under the name uncultured bacterium. RNAcentral's name for it is "partial 16S ribosomal RNA". It matches the Rfam family "Bacterial small subunit ribosomal RNA", at positions 524 to 776 of the family's 1533-position model. The record is from RNAcentral.